This 595-nucleotide ribosomal RNA is filed under the name Triticum aestivum (bread wheat). RNAcentral's name for it is "partial small subunit ribosomal RNA". The record is from RNAcentral. Lineage: Eukaryota; Viridiplantae; Streptophyta; Magnoliopsida; Poales; Poaceae.
AUGGAAAGGUUUCUAAAAAAGAGGAGAACCUCAGUGCAAGAUGAAAAUGUUGGUCCGUCACACGAACAUAAUCAGAACGAUGGCUCAGUUCCGCCACCAUCGGAUGGACAAAUUGAUGCAUCACCACAUGAACAGACUGAUGUUCCAGCCCCGCCAUCACCACAUGGACAAAAUGAUGCCUCCACACAUGAACCUAGUUCUGCCAAUACUACAAGGAAUUCAUCUCAAGUUGAAGAGAUCAAUUGGGAAGAAGAAAUUCAGUUUGAUCCAGGUAAAAGGAGAAGCAUAGAUGAGUACCAUCCCAAUCAGAGAGAUAUGGUAAGAAGGAAGUAUUUGGCCAAUGGCCCUUGUCAACCUCGUACUGCUGAUUUUGAAGUGACAGAAAUAUGUGGUAAAGAUAGAAGGUUCGUUCGGGAAUGGUUUGAUGAGUUUGGGAGCUGGACCGCGCAAGAAGAAAGAAGCCGGAUAUGAUGCAUUUGUUGCAAAUGGUUGGUCAAGUUGUAAUAAAAAAUAUAGAUUAAAGGAGCAUGUAGGAGACAUCAAUAGUGCUCACAACCAAGCAAAAAGAGAUUGUGAUGCUUUGCUGAAACAAAAG